Molecule: long non-coding RNA, 296 nt
Organism: Cannabis sativa
Lineage: Eukaryota; Viridiplantae; Streptophyta; Magnoliopsida; Rosales; Cannabaceae
Exons: 3
Source: RefSeq, a predicted model, not a curated record
CUUUCUUUCUCUCUCUCGUACAUAGCCAAACCCACUGGCCUGAGAUUAUCGAUCGUUCUCCAAGCAGGUCACCCAACAUACCUGAUUCAGAACUUGAGGUAAGGGCAAGGCAAAAUUAGAACAACCAUGAGAUGGCGGUCUUCUCCAGCAAUGUACAUAUUGACCCCACCAGCCUGCGUGUUGAGUUGUUUUAGACUGGCUGUGUCUGCUGUAUUUUGAAUUGUGUUUUGAAUUGUUAUUGUAUAUCGUCUUUUGGAUAAAUCUUUUAUAACAGGGAUUCCCGGAACUCCUUUUUA